This is a long non-coding RNA of Homo sapiens (human), 1224 nucleotides long. NCBI's taxonomy places the organism in Eukaryota, Metazoa, Chordata, Mammalia, Primates, Hominidae. The record is from Ensembl.
GUAGCCCUUGGGGCUGCUCUAUGGAGUAGCUUUUGUUUCUCCUGUAAUAAACUUGCAUUCACUUUACUCUGAAUUUGCCUUCAUUCUUGAACAAGAUCCAAGAACCCUCUCUUGGGGUCUGGAUUGGGACCCAUUUCCAGUAACAUCUUCCUGGCAAACCACCAAGGGACAACACUGGAGAAACCCCGACCCAAAAGAAUAGACUGCAGCACUAAUUGGCCAACUUUGCACUACGGAAAUGACAUUAGACAAAAAGCAAAUUUGAGCGAUUUUCGUAUCAAAGUUCGAAAUGGGUCAUAAAGCAGUGGAGACAACUCGCAACAUCCACAAUGCAUUUGGCGCAGGAACUGCUAAUGAACUGACAGUGCAAUGGUGGUUCAAGAAGUUUUGCAAAGGAGACAAGAGCCUUGAAGAUGAGGAGCACGGUGGCCAGCCAUCAGAAGUUGACAACGACCAGUUGAAAGCGAUCGUCAAGGCUGAUCCUCUUACAACUACACGAGAAGUUGCCAAAGAGCUCAACAUCAACCAUUCUGUGGUCAUUCAGCAUUUGAAGCAAAUUGGAAGGGUAAAAAAGCAUGGUAAGUGGGUGCCUUAUGAGCUGAGUGAAAAUCAAAAAAAUUGUCAUUUUGAAGUGUCAUCUUGUUUUAUCCUACACAACAACAACAAACCAUUUCUCAAUCAGACUGUGAUGUGUGAUGAAAAGUAGAUUUUAUGCAACAACCGGUGACAACCAGUUCAUUGGCUAGACUGAGAAGAAGCUUCAAAGCACUUCCCAAAGCCAAAUGUGCACCAAAAAAGAGCUCACGGUCACUGUUUGGUGGUCUGCUGCUGGUGUGAUGCACUAUAGGUUUCUGAAUCCCAGCAUAACCAUUAUAUAUGAGAAGUAUACUCAGCAAAUCAAUGAGAUGCCCAGAAAACUGCAACACCAGCAGCUGGCAUUGGUCAGUAGAAACGGCCCAAUUCUUCUCCAUGACAACGCCCAACUACACAUCACACAAUGCCUCAAAAGUUGAAUGAAUUGGGCUACAGAGUUUUGCCUCAUCUGCCAUAUUCACUUGACCUCUCGCCAACUGACUACUACUUCUUCAAGCAUCUUGACAACUUUUUUGCAGGGAAAACACUCCCACAACCAGGAGGAUGCAGAAAAUGUUUCCCAAAAGUUUGUCAAAUCCCAAAGCAUGGAUUUUUAUGCUACAGGAAUAAACUUAUUUCUCAUUGUCCAAA